UUUGAGAAGAUGUGUUCUUUUGUAAGGGCAAAAAUAUGGAUUUUAUUGGCUAACUAUGAUUGUCUGUAAAAAUGUAGAUAGUUAGCUAUGUUGCCUCAUAUAUAACUUGUAUAUUGUAAGGGAUAUAUUUUCCGCAGUUAUCUACAAAGAAAAUUUUAGUUGUUUUUGAAUGACGUUGUUGCCCCGUAGGCAUCAGGACAUCACACCAUUUUACUAAGAAAAUCAAUCUCAAUCUUCAUAUUCCCCUUUCUAGAGUAAAUCAACUAGUCCCAUGUGCUCAAUCAAUAAAUC
This 291-nucleotide long non-coding RNA is filed under the name Carica papaya (papaya). RNAcentral describes it as "long non-coding RNA (CPAP_LNC009335)". Lineage: Eukaryota; Viridiplantae; Streptophyta; Magnoliopsida; Brassicales; Caricaceae. The record is from RNAcentral.